Molecule: ribosomal RNA, 506 nt
Filed under: uncultured bacterium
Lineage: Bacteria
Description: partial 16S ribosomal RNA
Rfam family: Bacterial small subunit ribosomal RNA
Source: RNAcentral
AUUGAACGCUGGCGGCAGGCCUAACACAUGCAAGUCGAACGGUAACAGGAAGCAGCUUGCUGCUUCGCUGACGAGUGGCGGACGGGUGAGUAAUGUCUGGGAAACUGCCUGAUGGAGGGGGAUAACUACUGGAAACGGUAGCUAAUACCGCAUAACGUCGCAAGACCAAAGAGGGGGACCUUCGGGCCUCUUGCCAUCGGAUGUGCCCAGAUGGGAUUAGCUAGUAGGUGGGGUAACGGCUCACCUAGGCGACGAUCCCUAGCUGGUCUGAGAGGAUGAGCAGCCACAAUGGAACUGAGACACGGUCCAGACUCCUACGGGAGGCAGCAGUGGGGAAUAUUGCACAAUGGGCGCAAGCCUGAUGCAGCCAUGCCGCGUGUAUGAAGAAGGCCUUCGGGUUGUAAAGUACUUUCAGCGGGGAGGAAGGCGAUAAGGUUAAUAACCUUGUCGAUUGACGUUACCCGCAGAAGAAGCACCGGCUAACUCCGUGCCAGCCGCCGCAGUAA